GCAUGCGCGCAGCCUGACGCAGCACGCCGCGUGGGGGAUGAAGGCCUUCGGGUUGUAAACUCCUUUCGACCGGGACGAUUAUGACGGGACCGGGGGAAGAAGCCCCGGGUAACUUCGUGCCCGCAGCCCCGGGAAUA
RNAcentral lists this ribosomal RNA (137 nucleotides) under uncultured bacterium. RNAcentral describes it as "partial 16S ribosomal RNA". It matches the Rfam family "Bacterial small subunit ribosomal RNA", at positions 368 to 525 of the family's 1533-position model. The record is from RNAcentral.